Molecule: non-coding RNA, 45 nt
Organism: Schistosoma rodhaini
Lineage: Eukaryota; Metazoa; Platyhelminthes; Trematoda; Strigeidida; Schistosomatidae
Source: Rfam
ACUUAGCUGACGAGCCCCAAAUAGGACGAAACCCGUAUCCUGGAU